GACGAACGCUGGCGGCGUGCCUAAUACAUGCAAGUAGAACGCUGAAGGAGGAGCUUGCUUCUCUGGACGAGUUGCGAACGGGUGAGUAACGCGUAGGUAACCUGCCUGGUAGCGGGGGAUAACUAUUGGAAACGAUAGCUAAUACCGCAUAAUAUUGACUAUUGCAUGAUAGUCAGUUGAAAGGUGCAACUGCACCACUACCAGAUGGACCUGCGUUGGAUUAGCUAGUUGGUGGGGUAACGGCUCACCAAGGCGACGAUACAUAGCCGACCUGAGAGGGUGAUCGGCCACACUGGGACUGGGACACGGCCCAGACUCCCACAGGAAGCAGCAAUAGGGAAUCUUCGGCCAUGGGCGGAAGGCCGACCGAGCAACGCCGGGGGAGUGAAGAAGGUUUUCGGAUCGUAAAGCUCUGUUGUAAGGGAAGAACGAGUGUGGGAGUGGAAAGCUCACACUGUGACGGUAUCUUACCAGAAAGGGACGGCUAACUACGUG
This 495-nucleotide ribosomal RNA is filed under the name uncultured bacterium. RNAcentral's name for it is "partial 16S ribosomal RNA". It matches the Rfam family "Bacterial small subunit ribosomal RNA", at positions 28 to 507 of the family's 1533-position model. The record is from RNAcentral.